This 252-nucleotide ribosomal RNA is filed under the name uncultured bacterium. RNAcentral's name for it is "partial 16S ribosomal RNA". It matches the Rfam family "Bacterial small subunit ribosomal RNA", at positions 524 to 776 of the family's 1533-position model. The record is from RNAcentral.
UACGAAGGGGGCUAGCGUUGCUCGGAAUUACUGGGCGUAAAGCGUGCGCAGGCGGUUUGUUAAGUCCGCUGUGAAAGCCCCGGGCUCAACCUGGGAAUGGCGGUGGAAACUGGCGAGCUAGAGUGUGUCAGAGGGGGGUGGAAUUCCACGUGUAGCAGUGAAAUGCGUAGAGAUGUGGAGGAACACAAUGGCGAAGGCAGCCCCCUGGGAUAACACUGACGCUCAGGCACGAAAGCGUGGGGAGCAAACAGG